This 1651-nucleotide long non-coding RNA is filed under the name Malus domestica (apple). RNAcentral's name for it is "long non-coding RNA (MDOM_LNC004671)". The record is from RNAcentral. Lineage: Eukaryota; Viridiplantae; Streptophyta; Magnoliopsida; Rosales; Rosaceae.
UCACAAGCAGACAUUGUUUACGACUGUAGCAAAGUGUUGUAUUGUAGCGCAACAUUAUUCACUUUUUCUUGUUUUUUUCAUGAAGGAAAUCACGAAAAAUGUGGGCACAAAAUUAAAGCACACAGGUCACCAAGAGCAAACUGCUCUGAUACCAUAUUAAACUAAACAUGGUAAAUACCAAUUUAAACUAAACAUGGUAAAUACCAAUUUAAACUAAACAUGGUAAAUACCAAUUUAAACUAAACAUGGUAAAUACCAAAAAUACAUAUGACAAUAUUUGAGAAUUUCUUAUAUAUUCAUUAAUCUCCAAAGUGGAGUAUAUAUAGGAGUUAUAAUUGGUAUUACAUAUGUACUUCACCAAUGUGGGACAAUAAACUACUAUUUAAACUUUAACUAAUAUAUAACUCGCAACACAUUAAAGAAAGUAUUGUGCUAUAACAUCAAUCUAUCAAUCGAUCACACUAUAUAAGCAGAUACCUCUCCGUAAAUUUUAUGAUUCACAAGACAAUGGCAUCACGCAAGUUUCAAUUUGUUGUCAUUUUCCUCCUGAUUUCUCUUGUUGUAUCUGCUCAUUGCGCUGGUAAAAUUGUCUACUCUCUUUGUAAAUAUUUUUUUACAUUGUUACGUUCGACGAUCCAUAUUUCUCUACCUACAAAUCAUACACGUAUAAAUAACUUAGUAAAAACUCAUAAUUUUUGUCUAUAUGUUAGUCAAAUCACAAUUUGUAGGUGAGAAGGAAUUUGCUCCUUCUCAAUGAGGAGUCAAGUUCUUUGGUUUUUUAGGGUUUCCAAAUCUCUUUACUUAUAAGGAUUUACAAGUAUUUAGAUCUAGCAUCAUUUGAAUUUCAAUACAUUAUGUCUCACUUGUAAGUAUUGUAGUCAAAUCUUACAUUAUAAAUUAAACGUCUUUAACACGAGUCAUGCGGAUAGUGAAAACAAGAGAGAAUGUUUCAUCAUUUGCUUGUAUAUCAUGUUAUGAUUUGAGCUUGGAUGAUGUUAGGAACACUACUUGUAUUCCCCUUUUGGGGAUGAUCUCAUUCCCCAACAAUCUUUAUCAUUGUAAUUCAUAAUCAGAACCGUUUAAUUUCUUACUUUUCAUUUGAUGAUCAUCCCAAUACAAAAAUUAUUCAAAUAGAAAGUCGCUUAGUCAUUCAAAUGUAACAGAUAAACAACGGUAUAAGUAUCAAGAAACAAGUUAAUGAUAAAUCGUUAGUUUAUUUGAUAUAUAUGACUAAACGAUACUAUCAAACAACUAAUGGUGGGGCAACACUGUCAAACUACAAGUAGUCUCCUGAGGAUUUUCCCUCAAUAUAAAAGGUCAAAUAAGAUCCACAAGCUUCCUCCAUUACCGGAAUUUAACUAUGAAAAGUAAAAUUAUAAGCUUACGUUGCCAUAUGAUAUGAAAGAAAGAAAAACAUCAGACGCAUCUCAGUUGGGAUGAAACGCAAGAAAAUUAAGAUUUGGCCCAAGUGGAUAUGAAGGUACAUCAAAGUCAAACACAUGACUGAUAGAAAUACACUUAACCAACAAAACUAAAAAAAUAACGUACUUUUUUCCAAAGUUGAGUUGAGCUUUGAGCAAUUUUAUUCAAACUCACAAUUGUUUCUUUACAUCCAAUUCAUCAUUUUCUCUAAAUCGUAAUCUUUUUGUGA